GUGCCAGCAGCCGCGGUAAUACGAAGGUCCCAAGCGUUAUCCGGAUUUAUUGGGUUUAAAGGGUGCGUAGGCGGGCUAUUAAGUCAGUGGUGAAAGCCCCCGGCCUAACCGGGGAACUGCCAUUGAUACUGAUGGUCUUGAGUACAUUUGAGGUGGGCGGAAUGUGUCAUGUAGCGGUGAAAUGCUUAGAUAUGACACAGAACACCGAUUGCGAAGGCAGCUCACUAAACUGUAACUGACGCUGAGGCACGAAAGCGUGGGGAGCAAACAGGAUUAGAAACCCUGGUAGUCC
Molecule: ribosomal RNA, 292 nt
Filed under: uncultured bacterium
Lineage: Bacteria
Description: partial 16S ribosomal RNA
Rfam family: Bacterial small subunit ribosomal RNA
Source: RNAcentral